CUACGUGCCAGCAGCCGCGGUAAUACGUAGGUCCCGAGCGUUGUCCGGAUUUAUUGGGCGUAAAGCGAGCGCAGGCGGUUAGAUAAGUCUGAAGUUAAAGGCUGUGGCUUAACCAUAGUACGCUUUGGAAACUGUUUAACUUGAGUGCAGAAGGGGAGAGUGGAAUUCCAUGUGUAGCGGUGAAAUGCGUAGAUAUAUGGAGGAACACCGGUGGCGAAAGCGGCUCUCUGGUCUGUAACUGACGCUGAGGCUCGAAAGCGUGGGGAGCGAACAGGAUUAGAUACCCUGGUAGUCCACGCCGUAAACGAUGAGUGCUAGGUGUUAGGCCCUUUCCGGGGCUUAGUGCCGCAGCUAACGCAUUAAGCACUCCGCCUGGGGAGUACGACCGCAAGGUUGAAACUCAAAGGAAUUGACGGGGGCCCGCACAAGCGGUGGAGCAUGUGGUUUAAUUCGAAGCAACGCGAAGAACCUUACCAGGUCUUGACAUCCCGAUGCCCGCUCUAGAGA
RNAcentral lists this ribosomal RNA (507 nucleotides) under uncultured bacterium. RNAcentral's name for it is "bacterial SSU rRNA". It matches the Rfam family "Bacterial small subunit ribosomal RNA", at positions 501 to 1006 of the family's 1533-position model. The record is from RNAcentral.